Molecule: ribosomal RNA, 710 nt
Filed under: Macrococcoides caseolyticum
Lineage: Bacteria; Bacillati; Bacillota; Bacilli; Caryophanales; Staphylococcaceae
Description: bacterial SSU rRNA
Rfam family: Bacterial small subunit ribosomal RNA
Source: RNAcentral
UGCAGUCGAGCGAACGGACGAGAGUGCUUGCACUCUCUGAUGUUAGCGGCGGACGGGUGAGUAACACGUGGGUAACCUACCUAUAAGACUGGGAUAACUUCGGGAAACCGGAGCUAAUACCGGAUAAUAUUUAGCUUCGCAUGAAGCAAUAGUGAAAGACGGUUCUGCUGUCACUUAUAGAUGGACCCGCGGUGUAUUAGCUAGUUGGUGAGGUAACGGCUCACCAAGGCAACGAUACAUAGCCGACCUGAGAGGGUGAUCGGCCACACUGGGACUGAGACACGGCCCAGACUCCUACGGGAGGCAGCAGUAGGGAAUCUUCCGCAAUGGACGAAAGUCUGACGGAGCAACGCCGCGUGAGUGAAGAAGGUUUUCGGAUCGUAAAACUCUGUUGUAAGGGAAGAACAAGUACGUUAGUAACUGAACGUACCUUGACGGUACCUUACCAGAAAGCCACGGCUAACUACGUGCCAGCAGCCGCGGUAAUACGUAGGUGGCAAGCGUUAUCCGGAAUUAUUGGGCGUAAAGCGCGCGUAGGCGGUCUCUUAAGUCUGAUGUGAAAGCCCCCGGCUCAACCGGGGAGGGUCAUUGGAAACUGGGAGACUUGAGUGCAGAAGAGGAGAGUGCAAUUCCAUGUGUAGCGGUGAAAUGCGCAGAGAUAUGGAGGAACACCAGUGCUGAACGGCGGCUCUCUGGUCUGUAACUGACGC